Long non-coding RNA from Monodelphis domestica (gray short-tailed opossum), 1593 nucleotides. The record is from Ensembl. NCBI's taxonomy places the organism in Eukaryota, Metazoa, Chordata, Mammalia, Didelphimorphia, Didelphidae.
AUGAGUACAGGCAUGGCACCCGGUAAAGACGGGAUCCCAACCGAGGUGUACAAGGCCUUAAAGGGAAAGGCACUUCAGGCAUUCCAUAUAGUGCUGACCAGCAUAUGGGAAGAGGAAGACAUGCCCCCAGAACUCAGAGAUACCUCCAUCGUAGCCCUAUACAAGAACAAAGGCUCACGGGCAGCCUGUGACAACUACAGAGGCAUCUCACUACUCUCCACUGCUGGAAAGAUCCUCGCCCGAGUUAUACUCAACAGACUCCUGUCAUCUGACUCAGAGCAGAACCUGCCUGAAUCACAAUGUGGUUUCCGACCAGAUCGCAGCACCAUCGACAUGGUCUUCACGGUGAGACAAAUGCAGGAAAAAUGCCUUGAGCAGAACCUGAGUCUCUACAUUGUCUUCAUAGACCUAACUAAGGCAUUUGACACAGUAAACAGGGACGCAUUGUGGGUGAUCCUUAGCAAGCUCGGUUGCCCAGCAAAAUUCAUCAAACUGAUCCAGUUCUUUCAUGUUGCUAUGACAGGGAAAGUCCUAUCUGGUGGGAGAGACUUCCGAUCACUUCAACAUCUCCAAUGGCGUGAAACAAGGCUGUGUCCUUGCUCCGGUACUAUUCAACCUAUACUUCACCCAAGUAUUAUGACAUGCUGUGAUGGAUCUAAACCUGGGCGUCUACAUCAAAUACCGACUGGAUGGCUCACAUUUGACCUUUGCCGCCUGACUGCAAAAACAAAGACAACAGAGAGACUCAUCCUGGAAGCUCUCUUCACAUAUGACUGUGCUCUCAUGGCCCACCAAGAAAAUCAUCUCCAAACCAUUGUGGACAGGUUCUCUACCACAACAAAACUGUUUGGCCUGACUAUCAGCCUCAACAAAACAGAGGUGCUGUUCCAACCUGCACCAGGGAGGCCAACGAACCAACCGUGCAUAACUAUCGACGGCACACAGCUUUCUAACGUCAACACUUUCAAGUACCUGGGCAGCACCAUCACCAACGACGGGUCCCUAGACCACAAGAUUAAUGCUAGGAUCCAAAAGGCCAGCCAGGCACUUGGACGGCUGCGCUGCAAAGUCCUCCAACACAGCGGUGUAAGCACUGCGACGAAGCUCAAAGUGUAUAACGCAGUGGCCCUCAGCUCGCUCCUGUACAGUUGCGAGACAUGGACACUGUACCGGAAGCACAUGAAACAGCUGGAGCAAUUCCACCAAUGCUCUCUCCGGUCAAUCAUGAGGAUCCGAUGGCAGGUCCGAAUCACCAACCAGGAAGUCCUUGACAGAGUCAACUCCACCAGCAUCGAAGUCAUGGUCCACAAAACCCAGCUACGAUGGUCUGGACACAUCAUCCGCAUGGACCUACAGCGAAUACCAAGACAGGUAUUCUAUGGUGAACUGUCAGCUGGACUCAGGAAACAAGGCCGACCAAAGAAAAGAUUCAAGGAUCAGCGAAAGUCCAACUUGAAGUGGGCUGGCAUUACCCCAAAGCAACUAGAACUCGCUGCCUCUGACAGAAGCAGCUGGCGAACCCACAUUCACCAUGCCGCCACCUCCUUUGAAGAUGAGCAACGUCAAUGUCUUGCCGCAGCGUGUGAACGCUGA